AGAGAGAGUCCUUACCAUGCACAGAGUAAGUCUGCUGCUCUAGACGCUUGCUCAUCUCACCAGCAGGAGCACGUAUAGCGUGCACUUAAAGAAACAAGAUCUCAUUCAAAUCAGCCAGAUGUUUCUUUCAAUCCCACAGUGCUUCUUUAUUCAUUCGAGAUUCCUUUAAAUGUUCAGAAGAAGCCACUGGAGACCUUCCUGUUCCCUUUUCCCAGCAGCUACUUGUUAAAGUAUUUAAAGCUUCCAGCAACCAGAUGCACUUCAUG
Molecule: long non-coding RNA, 266 nt
Filed under: Sinocyclocheilus anshuiensis
Lineage: Eukaryota; Metazoa; Chordata; Actinopteri; Cypriniformes; Cyprinidae
Description: lncRNA (ENSSANG00000039840.1)
Source: RNAcentral